This 298-nucleotide long non-coding RNA is filed under the name Physcomitrium patens. RNAcentral describes it as "long non-coding RNA (PPAT_LNC014162)". Lineage: Eukaryota; Viridiplantae; Streptophyta; Bryopsida; Funariales; Funariaceae. The record is from RNAcentral.
AAAUAAAUUUCAACCAAGUUCUAAUUUAAUUCUGGUUGAAACUCUAAUAGACUUCAAUCAAAUCCUAGACAAACCUUAAAUCUUAGAUCAAAUCCAAGACAAAUCUUAAUUCCUAAAUCAAACCUUAGACAAAUCUUAAAUCUUAAAUUAAACCUUAGAAAAUCCUAAAUCUUAAAUCCUAAAUCAAAUCCUAAUCAACUCAAUUUAAUCCUAGUAUUCUUUAGAACUUCAAUAUCUAUCAAUUAAAUCAUUAAAUUUACUUAAAAAUUUACAUACAUCUCACUAAUUAAAUCCACAA